Molecule: ribosomal RNA, 377 nt
Filed under: Pseudoanaplectinia yumotoi
Lineage: Eukaryota; Metazoa; Arthropoda; Insecta; Blattodea; Blattellidae
Description: partial 16S ribosomal RNA
Source: RNAcentral
UUCUUCUUGAUUGGUUUUGAGGUAUAACCUGCCCACUGAUUAAUUUAAAGGGCUGCAGUAAUUUGACUGUACAAAGGUAGCAUAAUCAUUUGUCUUUUAAUUGGAGGCUGGAAUGAAUGGUUUAAUGAAAUAUAAACUGUCUUGUGAAAGAGAUUUAUGGUAGAAUUUAAUUGUUAUGUGAGAAAGCAUAAGUAUGGUUAUGGGACGAGAAGACCCUUUAGAGUUUAAUAAUUUAAUAAUUUUUAUUUUUGUGGUUUAUUUAAUUUUUGUGAUAUUAUUUUGUUGGGGUGAUAAAAAGAUAAUAAUAACUCUUUUUAGAUGUGUAUAUUGAUUUAUAGUAUUAUGAUCCUUAUUUGUGAAUAAAAGAUUAAAUUACC